This is a long non-coding RNA of Corvus hawaiiensis (hawaiian crow), 156 nucleotides long. RefSeq lists it as uncharacterized. The record is from RefSeq and is a predicted model, not a curated record. The transcript has 3 exons. Lineage: Eukaryota; Metazoa; Chordata; Aves; Passeriformes; Corvidae.
GAUUUUGGGGCGUUUUGGGGGGAUUUGAGUGGAUUUUGGGGUGAUUUUGGGAGCUGUAGAGAAGGACCAGGUGUGCCCAGGUGUGCCCAGGUGUGCCCAGGUGUGCCCGGGGGAAGGAUUUUGGAAUUUGGGGCAUUUUUUGGGGAAUUUGGGGGA